GAAUAAACUUGGUGGACUGUCGCUGGCUCUCUCGAGGGCAUGUGCACGUCUGUCAUAUUUAUCAUUUCCACCUGUGCACCUUCUGUAGACCUGGAGAAAACCAUUUCUGAGGAAACUCAGGCGUUGGGAGUUGCAGGCGUAUACCAAUGUCAGCUCUCCUUGAGUAUCCAGGCCUAUGUAUUUUUAUACACUCCAAUGAAAUGUAAUAGAAUGUAAUCAAUGGGUCUUUGUACCUAUAAUAAAGUUUAUACAACUUUCAGCAACGGAUCUCUUGGCUCU
Molecule: unclassified non-coding RNA, 279 nt
Filed under: rhizosphere metagenome
Description: partial ribosomal RNA internal transcribed spacer region
Source: RNAcentral